RNAcentral lists this ribosomal RNA (558 nucleotides) under uncultured bacterium. RNAcentral's name for it is "bacterial SSU rRNA". It matches the Rfam family "Bacterial small subunit ribosomal RNA", at positions 338 to 915 of the family's 1533-position model. The record is from RNAcentral.
CCUACGGGAGGCAGCAGUGGGGAAUAUUGGACAAUGGGGGCAACCCUGAUCCAGCAAUGCCGCGUGUGUGAUGAAGGCCUUAGGGUUGUAAAGCACUUUCACUGGUGAAGAUGAUGACGGUAACCAGAGAAGAAGCCCCGGCUAACUUCGUGCCAGCAGCCGCGGUAAUACGAAGGGGGCGAGCGUUGUUCGGAAUUACUGGGCGUAAAGGGAGCGCAGGCGGUUCAUUCAGUUAGGCGUGAAAGCCCCGGGCUCAACCUGGGAACUGCGCUUAAUACUGAUGAGCUAGAAAACAGGAGAGGGUAGUGGAAUUUCCAGUGUAGAGGUGAAAUUCGUAGAUAUUGGAAAGAACACCGGUGGCGAAAGCGGCUACCUGGCCUGGUUUUGACGCUGAGGCUCGAAAGCGUGGGGAGCAAACAGGAUUAGAUACCCUGGUAGUCCACGCCGUAAACGAUGACAGCUAGAUGUCGGGGGGUUGCCUCUCGGUGUCGCCGCUAACGCAUUAAGCUGUCCGCCUGGGAAGUACGGUCGCAAGAUUAAAACUCAAAUGAAUUGACG